CAGUCGCCGCGGUAAUACAGAGGGUGCGAGCGUUGUUUGGAUUUACUGGGCGUAAAGCGCACGUAGGCGGACUUUUAAGUCAGGGGUGAAAUCCCGGGGCUCAACCCCGGAACUGCCUUUGAUACUGGAAGUCUUGAGUAUGGUAGAGGUGAGUGGAAUUCCGAGUGUAGAGGUGAAAUUCGUAGAUAUUCGGAGGAACACCAGUGGCGAAGGCGGCUCACUGGACCAUUACUGACGCUGAGGUGCGAAAGCGUGGGGAGCAAACAGGAUUAGAUACCCCAGUAGUCCCUGUCUCUUAUAU
This 301-nucleotide ribosomal RNA is filed under the name uncultured bacterium. RNAcentral describes it as "partial 16S ribosomal RNA". It matches the Rfam family "Bacterial small subunit ribosomal RNA", at positions 509 to 809 of the family's 1533-position model. The record is from RNAcentral.